GACGAACGCUGGCGGCGUGCUUAACACAUGCAAGUCGAACGGAAAGGCCCUGCUUUUGUGGGGUGCUCGAGUGGCGAACGGGUGAGUAACACGUGAGUAACCUGCCCUUGACUUUGGGAUAACUUCAGGAAACUGGGGCUAAUACCGGAUAGGAGCUCCUGCUGCAUGGUGGGGGUUGGAAAGUUUCGGCGGUUGGGGAUGGACUCGCGGCUUAUCAGCUUGUUGGUGGGGUAGUGGCUUACCAAGGCUUUGACGGGUAGCCGGCCUGAGAGGGUGACCGGCCACAUUGGGACUGAGAUACGGCCCAGACUCCUACGGGAGGCAACAGUGGGGAAUAUGGCACAAUGGGCGGAAGCCUGAUGCAGCAACGCCGCGUGCGGGAUGACGGCCUUCGGGUUGUAAACCGCUUUCGCCUGUGACGAAGCGUGAGUGACGGUAAUGGGUAAAGAAGCACCGGCUAACUACGU
This 467-nucleotide ribosomal RNA is filed under the name uncultured bacterium. Its description in RNAcentral is "partial 16S ribosomal RNA". It matches the Rfam family "Bacterial small subunit ribosomal RNA", at positions 28 to 506 of the family's 1533-position model. The record is from RNAcentral.